GGCGAAAUUGUAGUGCAAGUGAAGAUGCUUGCUACCCGCGAUUGGACGGAAAGACCCCGUAGAGCUUUACUGUAGCUUAGCAUUGAAUCUCGGUAUUGUCUGUACAGGAUAGGUGGGAGACUUGGAAACUUGGGCGUCAGCCUGAGUGGAGUCAUCCUUGGGAUACCACCCUGACAGUACUGGGGUUCUAACCGGCGGCCAUGAAUCUGGUCACGGGACAUUGUUAGG
This 228-nucleotide ribosomal RNA is filed under the name Clostridium botulinum. Its description in RNAcentral is "partial 23S ribosomal RNA". It matches the Rfam family "Bacterial large subunit ribosomal RNA", at positions 2035 to 2261 of the family's 2925-position model. The record is from RNAcentral. Lineage: Bacteria; Bacillati; Bacillota; Clostridia; Eubacteriales; Clostridiaceae.